Heterocephalus glaber (naked mole-rat) is the source of this 2007-nucleotide long non-coding RNA. The record is from Ensembl. NCBI's taxonomy places the organism in Eukaryota, Metazoa, Chordata, Mammalia, Rodentia, Bathyergidae.
CCAUGCCACUGGGGCCAGGCUAAAACUUUUAGCAACGUUUUCUUCUGACUCAAACAGGAAAGAGACCAGCUGGCAAAAGGGAGAGAUCUCACCACUAGCAGAAGAGCCCUAUUUGGGGCAUGUGGCCUGUGCCAGCCCAGUGCUCCCCACACCCCAAGGCUGCUCCUUCCCAGCCUCUGUGCACCUUCUCCACCCUACAGCAUCAUCUCAGUGGUUUCUUCACCCCUUCAUCUUCCUGUGCUGCAGCAUGGCUCUGCCCUGGUGGGUAGAGAUGGCCUUGGAAACUGUGCCUCCUUAUGACCACAGACUGUUCUUGGCUUGAAAAUCCCCAAGCACAAAAAAUAACCUACAGACUCGGGACAGUGAACUUGCCUUCAGAGGGCUAGGAGGCCACUGCUCUAACCGGGGCUGGGAUGUCUUGGCUACAUGCCCAACAGAUAUCCGAAUCCAUCUGAGUGCUGGGUGCCAGGGAGAGGAAAUGAAUUCCCUUCCUCAGCAGCUCAUGAGCUCCCAGCAACCCUCCUCCACCAGGGACAGAUUCUUCUCUCCACCAAAGAAUGUUCCCAGCACUGCUAUGGCAGUCUCCCAAGGUGCAGUCCCUGGGUCUGCGGCUCCUGGACGGAGGUGCUUUCUUAUGUUCUCCCAGGCUUGUGGCCAAGGUACAGGAUACCUGCCUGGGGUGUGGCCAGGUCAAUGCCCACCUCACUGAGGAACUGUGGCUCAGUGACUAGUGGCCACAGAUGCGGUGGUGUCUUCAUCCCAUGUGGCUCUGCCAAAUGGUUUGUGGCUCUUUUCUGAGUGUGUAGUUGGCAGACAGAGUCUCAGAAUGACUCAAGAUACGCUAAAAAUACUUUUGGCCAUCUACCACCUGGGCCAUUAACCUCCUAACCUCAUACCCUUCCUCUCUUCUCCUCUACUGGUGCUUUUCCUGUACCCUGGACAUUUUGGACUUUUACUUUUAAUUAAAACAACACAUGGACAGUCCUGCAAGACUUACAACAAAAAUACAAGAUAAACCAGCAACUACCUGUCCCCAGACCUGCUCCCACUUGUGGAAAAACAGAAUGGAGCAUCAGCUCUGUGUCAGGCUGUUGGGCUGAUGAACCAAGUUCCUACCCUCCCACAGUGGAAUUUCUAGGGAAACCUCCUCUAACCCUUUUAACUCUUCUGUAAUUCUCCAGCACAUGCUUAUAUUGCUCCCUUCUUUUCCUUUUGAAUUUUGGAGAGUAUCUAACGGCUUCCUAACAUGGAAGACAUGGAAUUAGUUCCCUUACAUACAGAUUUUUAUGUUUUGCCUUCCACAAGUCCGAAUCCCAUUUCAUUACAAUUUGGGGAUACAUUAGCACAGUGGACCCUUGUUUUAGGAACUCAAUUUGUUCACGAGGGCUGGUUGUAACUUAAGUUGGUCAAUUGAAGGCUCAAGCUCCUCUACACAGUCCUCAAAGUCUCUGUCUUAUAUACAGGCAGAUCUCAGUGUCCUUAGAGACAUUGGCCCAGGAUUUCUCAAUUAACCCCACACAAGAAAGGAUGUUGUAAUGUUCCUUCCAGAAAUCUUUAAGGGUUAAGUCUGUAUCUGAGACCAUCUGGGAUCACAAGCAGCUGGCAUUUGGGUCAUAACUGAAGACUGUGGUUGUAAGUUAAAACUAAAAUUCCAGUCAUAACCCAAGUUGUUCGUAUGCCAGGCCAGUCAUAACUCGAGGGUCCACUGUAUUUGGUGUUUAUAUUACCAUGGUUAUGUAAAUAUUUUUCCCCUGUGAGCUGUGCAGUGCAUUACGACUACAUAUUCUAUUUUGUGUUAUUUGCUUUUCCAGUUCCUAAUUGCCUUGUUUUCUUCUUGCAUCAAACUGGGCACUCAGUACAUCCUUUAAAACUAGACUCAAGAGUUUUGGUUCUGGGAGGCUAGAAAGCAUAACUGCACUUUGUAAAGUCCUUUAGUUAGGGGCUGGGGCUGUAGCUUAGCGGUGAAACACUUGCUUAGCAUGCACAAGGCCCUAGGUUUGAUACCCA